Molecule: microRNA precursor, 74 nt
Organism: Ophiophagus hannah (king cobra)
Lineage: Eukaryota; Metazoa; Chordata; Lepidosauria; Squamata; Elapidae
Rfam family: mir-148/mir-152 microRNA precursor family
About the family: The hairpin precursors (represented here) are predicted based on base pairing and cross-species conservation -- their extents are not known. In this case the mature sequence is excised from the 3' arm of the hairpin.
Source: Rfam
UUGAGGUGAAGUUCUGUUAUACACUUUGACUGUGGCUACAUGGAAGUCAGUGCAUCACAGAACUUUGUCUCGAG